Molecule: long non-coding RNA, 1371 nt
Filed under: Solanum tuberosum (potato)
Lineage: Eukaryota; Viridiplantae; Streptophyta; Magnoliopsida; Solanales; Solanaceae
Description: long non-coding RNA (STUB_LNC004988)
Source: RNAcentral
UCACUUUUAACGAUGCACAACUUAUCCCAUGCCACUGUGUCUAAAAUGUCGAUGUGCAUGCAACCUGCUUUAUCUGAAGAUUCUGCUGGCAUCUCUGAGUAUAGUAGGGAUCAACUCAAGAUUGUAAGAAGAACAUUCCUACUUGCAACAGUAAUGCAGUUUCCACAUUCGAUUAACAUGAUUUGACUAGAAUUGAGAAGAUAGAUCAUUUAUCCCAAUAUAAUAUAAUGUGUGCAGUUUAGACUCCAUUAUACAGGUUUUGGGAUGAUUAAAAUAGAAUUAUGCAAACCUAUAUCUAGAAAGUAUAUAUGUGUUAGGACUUUAUUCCACUUACUUCAUUGUCAAAAGAAAUGAGAUGAAGAGAUUAAAAACUAAAGCCACCAAAAAUGAUUCCAAGUUAGUCAAUAAACAAAGAAUUCAACUUCCAAAUAUCACAAUCUCGACCAGAAAAAAAGAAGAAAAAAAUCCUGCAAAUCCCCUCUAUCAAGAACCCUCAAAUCACUUAGCUUGAUUUUCUCAAAUUUAAUGAAACCCCGCGUAACAUUAACCAUUUUACUUAUUUAAUCCAAGAAUAAACCCUGCCCAAAAAGAAAUCACAGAACCCACCUACAUUAUACACAAAUUUAUACAAGAAACCCCAUAACCAUUAAAAGAAUACUUAACUCAAACAUAAUUUGAAAAAAAUAAAACAAAUCCCUUGAUAACUAACCCAUUUCUUGCACAAAACAGUGAACUUGUUCAAAUAAAGGAAGUCAAUUAACAAAGAAAUUAACUUCCAAAUAUCAAAAUCUUGACAAAAAAAAAAAAUGAAACCCUCAAAUCCCCUCAUAUCAAAAACCCUCAAAUUUAAUUUUUACCCAGUAUCAUAAAUCAUUUUUUCAUGGAAACCCCACGUAACAUUCACUAUUUUAAUUCUUAAUAAUCCAAGAAAGAAAACCCCCAAAAAAAGAAAUCACAGAACUCACCUACAUUUCCCUUGCAUACACAAACUUAUACAAGAAACCCCAUAAGUCCAUAACCAACAUAUAAAGAAGUGAACCAGUAAUAAAAAAAAUACACAAAAAAGAUAAAACUCCAAUUAUUUUCCUACAGUACAAAAAAAGUAGACAUAAUAAACAGAGACCAAAAACAGAGAAAAACUCACAAGUUUGGAGGAAUUCGCCACCAUUGCUUGUCUCUUCGCCACCGCACUCGAAACAGACGAAGAGGGUCGUCGUCAUUUCCUCCUUCUGAUGUAAAACCCUUCUCUUCAAGAGCAAGAAAACAAAGAAGAAGAAGACCGUGUACGUUACUUGUUUUAAUUGCACUUGAAACAUGAAGGGACCGUGGUUAUAUUUUGAUAUUCUUUUUUCUAUUAAAAAUAGUAGUAAU